Unclassified non-coding RNA from Erinaceus europaeus (western European hedgehog), 309 nucleotides. Its record names the gene 7SK. It matches the Rfam family "7SK RNA". Rfam says of the family: 7SK was discovered as an abundant small nuclear RNA in the mid-70s but a possible function has only recently been suggested. Two independent studies have found that 7SK RNA binds the CDK9/cyclin T complex (known as elongation factor P-TEFb). P-TEFb activates transcription by phosphorylating the C-terminal domain of RNA polymerase II. Lineage: Eukaryota; Metazoa; Chordata; Mammalia; Eulipotyphla; Erinaceidae. The record is from Ensembl.
GGAUGAGGGCGAUCUGGCUGCGACAUCUAUCACCCCAUUGAUCGCCAGGGUUGAUUCGGCUGAUCUGGCUGGCUAGGCGGGUGUCUCCUUCCUCCCUCACCGCUCCAUGUGCGUCCCUCCCAAAGCUAUGCGCUCGGUCGAAGUGGACGGCCUUCCCCGAAUAGAGAUGGACAGGUCUUCCGUCGAGGGUAUACGACUAGCUGCGCUCCCCUGCUAGAACCUCCAAACAAGCUCUCAAGUAUAGCAUAUGAUAUGUAAUGUUAUUGCUUUUUUAUUGAACCUUUUUUUUUUCAGUUGCAAGAAUUUAAA